Arachis ipaensis is the source of this 436-nucleotide non-coding RNA. The record is from RefSeq and is a predicted model, not a curated record. NCBI's taxonomy places the organism in Eukaryota, Viridiplantae, Streptophyta, Magnoliopsida, Fabales, Fabaceae.
AUUCAUGAAAACAUAAGUCUUUUGGAACAAUACUCAUUUGCAGCUCAGGCGCCAGAGUCCUUUUAUCAUCUUGAUCAAAGCUGGGUAAUGGUCCAAGAGAUUGAGAUUUUAAAGAUUGAAGUGAUGCCAGGAUGGAGAAAAGGAACAAAGAUCAAAUUUGAGGGCAAGGGUGAUGAAAAACCUGGAUACCUCCCUGCUGAGAUUCCUCUAGUAGAUGCACUCACAGGGUGCUCUUUACCAAUUUCUAUAUUAGGAGGGGAGAAGCUGACUUUGUCAUUUGAGAAUACUGUUGUAUACCCUGGAUAUGUUAAGGUUAUUGAAGGUCAAGGCAUGCCAACCCUUAAAAACGAUGGGAAAAGAGGUGACCUCCAUGUCAAGUUUCUAGUUGACUUCCCCAAAGAAUUGAGUGAUGAACAACGGCAAGAAGCUUUUAGAA